GCGGGAUUAACUCAGCGGUAGAGUGCGAGCUUCCCAAGCUCGUGGUCGCGGGUUCAAAUCCCGUAUCCCGCU
This 72-nucleotide transfer RNA is filed under the name bacterium. RNAcentral describes it as "tRNA-Gly". It matches the Rfam family "tRNA". Rfam says of the family: Transfer RNA (tRNA) molecules are approximately 80 nucleotides in length. Their secondary structure includes four short double-helical elements and three loops (D, anti-codon, and T loops). RNAcentral also lists the same sequence under 1 other name. The record is from RNAcentral.